This 87-nucleotide transfer RNA is filed under the name Cordylochernes scorpioides. RNAcentral describes it as "tRNA-Tyr". Lineage: Eukaryota; Metazoa; Arthropoda; Arachnida; Pseudoscorpiones; Chernetidae. The record is from RNAcentral.
UCCCUCGAGCCGGAUUUGAACCAGCGACCUAAGGAUCACCGUUGUAACAUCUACAGUCCUCCGCUCUGUCAACUGAGCUAUCGAGGG